AUUAUAUGAAUUGAUUGAUUAAUUAAUAAAUUUGAAAUUUAAAAAACAGAAAAAUAAUUGGGUGUUUCCGAUAGUAGUUGUAGCGGUCAAGCCGAGCCGAUCCGAUGACGCGAGCCACUCACACACUGGGGGUUCCCCCAACAACACGCGCCCCUCCCCGGCGACCGUACCGUAUUAUCCCCCACCCUUCCCACUCUUUCGCCUUGCCGUUUCGCUUUCUCUCUCUUCUUUCUCUUUCCGCAUUCCCUCUCUCUUUCUCUCUCUUCUUCCCCGAACCCUAAUUUCCGUUUUCCGAUGCCCGACUUUAACGACUCCAUCGCGCCGCCGUCGCGCCCCGUCCCCGUUCGCGAGGACUGCUGGUCCGAGGAGGCCUCUUCCACGCUUGUUGACGCCUGGGGCCGACGCUACCUCGAGCUCAACCGCGGCAACCUCCGCCAGAAGGAUUGGCAGGAUGUUGCCGAUGCUGUCAACGCGCUCCACGGACACACCAAGAAGACGCACCGCACAGACGUCCAGUGCAAGAACCGCAUCGAUACCAUAAAGAAGAAGUACAAGAUCGAGAAGGCUAGGGUUUCGUCCUCCAACGGUACUCUCUCUUCCUCCUGGCCAUUCUACGAACGAUUGGAUGCUCUGAUUGGCCCUAAUUUCAACGCCAAGAAACCUCCUUCCUCCUCGCCGUCUCCUUCGCCGCCUGUGGCUCUUCCGCUGCUUCCGCAUCGGAAGAACCCUUCCUCCUCGCCUGCGAUUGCGGUGACACCGACGGCCGUCGCGCUGCCUCAGAAGCGCUCCGCCGCUGCGGCGGCGAUGGACGAGGGUUAUUUCAGAAGGAAUUACUCCGCUGUUGCUGCGGCUGCGGCGGCUGCGGAGGCUGACGAAGACGAGGAGGAAGAGGAAGAGGAGGAGGCGGACGAUGUGGAGGAGGAGGAGGACGAAGAUGAAGGGAGGGGGAGCGAGGUGGAGGAAGGGGAGAAGGAGAGGGAAGGGAUGAGGAGGCUGGCGAAGGCGAUAGAGAGGUUUGGUGAAGUGUAUGAGAGAGUGGAGGGUCAGAAGCUGAGGCAGAUGGUGGAUUUGGAGAAACAGAGGAUGCAGUUUGCUAAAGAUCUCGAAGUUCAGAGGAUGCAGAUGUUUAUGGACACACAGGUUCAGCUCGAGAGAAUUAAGCGCGGGAAACGAUCUGGCUCUAACGUGCUGAACCAUGUGUGGUACAUGUGUGCUAUAUUUCAACUUUCAUAAAUGUGGUGCGGUUUUGGGUAGUUGUGUACUAAUAUGUAAGGAAGCGGCAUCUAUUAUGUGCUCUGUUCAAAUCUUCAAGAAAGGUGCAACUACAAGCACUGUAACAUGUCCCAGGUUUUCUAUCUGUAUGAAGUGAGCCGGAUUUUUUAAAGAAUGGGCUUGAGACACAGAUAAAAGGUUUGGGAGGUUGAUUUACCAAAUGUCCUUUAAUUAAAACUACUUUAAUUAAAACUAAUCCCAUUGACUCAGUUCGAUAGAUACUACUAUGGUUCAAGUUGAUAGAUUUCAUUUAAAUAUGGGUCGAUGAUGAGUUAAUGACUCCAGUUGCUACAUGAUCCCUAUUGGUACGGACGUGCAAAGCUAGGUUAGGAUCAAGGUACGACACAUUAUUUGCUUGAAGAAAGGAGGAUAACGGUGAGUUAAUGGUUUGGAAGAUAUGUAUAGCUAGCCUGGUGAAGUGGGCGAUGGUUGGAUGAUGGUGCUCGAAAAGCUGUCUUGGUUUGGGUCUAGUCGUGGGAAAAGUACAUAUCUUCAGCUGAUAUACUGUCAUGAGGGAAUAUCUCCUAUAGAAAUUUAUCCUGGAGUAAUUUUGGAUUCUUUUAGCUAGCCUUUUAUUUGUUGUUAUUAGUCCUUAUAAAUUAAAUCAGCGACUGUGCUAGGCCUAAUUUGGCUCCGAUAUAGAAUUUGCUCCAAUGUAUAACACUCUUAUGCCAAAUGCCCUCCCAUUUCCCUUUUCACUA
Molecule: RNA transcript, 1973 nt
Organism: Vigna radiata var. radiata (mung bean)
Lineage: Eukaryota; Viridiplantae; Streptophyta; Magnoliopsida; Fabales; Fabaceae
Gene name: trihelix transcription factor ASIL2
Exons: 5
Source: RefSeq, a predicted model, not a curated record